This 253-nucleotide ribosomal RNA is filed under the name uncultured bacterium. Its description in RNAcentral is "partial 16S ribosomal RNA". It matches the Rfam family "Bacterial small subunit ribosomal RNA", at positions 524 to 776 of the family's 1533-position model. The record is from RNAcentral.
UACGAAGGGGGCGAGCGUUGUUCGGAAUUACUGGGCGUAAAGGGCGCGCAGGCGGCUCUGAAAGUCAGAUGUGAAAGCCCCGGGCUUAACCUGGGAAUUGCAUUUGAUACUCUGGAGCUUGAGUACGGGAGAGGAGAGUGGAAUUCCCAGUGUAGAGGUGAAAUUCGUAGAUAUCGGAAGGAACAUCAGUGGCGAAAGCGACUUCCUGGACCAGUACCGACGUUCAGGCACGAAAGCGUGGGGAGCAAACAGG